CCCUGACAUCUUGAAUGCCACCGGACAUCUCACUGCCUAGUGCAAUUGCUGCACUGAAUGGAGAAAUGCAGGUGAGCCUUCUGAUUACAAGCUGCUUGGUAGGCAUCCCAAACGCAAUGCCAUACUCAUCCCAGCCACUCUUAACAGCUACACAAUCGUCUCCAGAGACAAUGUAACAGUCCUCAAUUCUGGUGUUUGUGCACGAGUCUGGGUUGAUCCCAUCAGUGUUUGGAGAGGUCACCGGCGCACGAAUUGUUAAGCCUUG
This 265-nucleotide unclassified non-coding RNA is filed under the name Hevea brasiliensis (rubber tree). The record is from RNAcentral. Lineage: Eukaryota; Viridiplantae; Streptophyta; Magnoliopsida; Malpighiales; Euphorbiaceae.